This 393-nucleotide ribosomal RNA is filed under the name uncultured bacterium. RNAcentral's name for it is "partial 16S ribosomal RNA". It matches the Rfam family "Bacterial small subunit ribosomal RNA", at positions 523 to 918 of the family's 1533-position model. The record is from RNAcentral.
AUACGGAGGAUGCGAGCGUUAUCCGGAUUUAUUGGGUUUAAAGGGUGCGCAGGCGGGCGAUUAAGUCAGCGGUGAAAGGCUCGGGCUCAACCGGAGCAGGGCCGUUGAUACUGGUUGUCUUGAAUGCGGUCAAGGCCGGCGGAAUGUGGCGUGGGGCGGGGAAAUGCAUAGAUAUGCCACAGAACACCGAUAGCGAAGGCAGCUGGCCGGGCCUGCAUUGACGCUGAGGCACGAAAGCGUGGGGAUCGAACAGGAUUAGAUACCCUGGUAGUCCACGCUGUAAACGAUGGACACUCGUUGUCGGCGACAGACAGUCGGCGGCCAAGCGAAAGUGAUAAGUGUCCCACCUGGGGAGUACGGUCGCAAGGCUGAAACUCAAAUGAAUUGGCGGGG